CUGUGACUUUAUUGAAGCACAUUAACCUUCCCCCUACCCACAUCUGUUAACGCCGCACUGCCAGACCCGAGUACCCGACAUUCUACCCGCACUCACCGCGGACGCUGAGUACCUGUAGGUCCUAUUCUCACCGCUAUGACAAGGGAGGCUUAGCAAAUUGAUUUCCUGAGGAUAGCCGAUGGCAGUGGUGGUCGUCAGGCCACGUAUCCUAUUCCAUCUAUAACUUUUUUAAGACUCUACAGCGCAAGGUUCUUUUUUUUUUUUCUCUCGGGGCGCCUGGAUCGUGCGAAUCUCUGUACCUGCCACCAGAGCUUAAUUGUCAAAUCCACGUUACAGCUGCGGAUAUAAACCAUCAGGGGAGAGACUGAUUUCUUACACUCCCCUCACCAAGUCUUUUUUUUUUUAAAAAAAUAUUCAGUAAAAAAAUAAUCCACCGUCUUCGUGAGACAGAGAUAGAGCCGAACUACUGAUAAGCGUCUGACGAGGAGUGAGGAGGUCCGUCUGCCAUGCUGGUCUGACUGAAGGUAUGAUUGGUGUUAUCAUCCACCUGAAGUACAGGUCGUCUGUGUUUGCUCUGCUCUCAAAUGUGACACUUCUUCCCAACGGUGGUUGUCGCAGCUCUCGUGGUGAACUACGUACAGCGGUUUACUUACCAGAAUCAGGUUCUCCAACACUAUUGACUGCAAUGUAGCCUUGUGAUCUGCGCCUUGCGGAGGGAUUCUGUGCCGAGGUUCUGAAGGAGUUGGAGUUUCGGAAUAACGGAUGGGGCCGUGCAGUGCUCUCGCCGGUGAGCUGCGUUCAUAGUCCACCUCUUCAAAAAAUAAAAUCCACGAAGGGAAAUUGCGAUGUCCGCCCGAAGCUGUGCACGCGACACCAUGGAAACACUGUUCGUCCGGAGUCGUACUUUCACCAACCGUCGCUGCUUUGAUCUACCCGAAAGUGCUUUGCCGUGUUGGAAAACUACUUCGACUAUCUGCGAUUUUCUUCCUCUAAGUCCACUCAGGUCAAGGUCGGCCCUAGUGACCUAUGCCCCUGCUUUCCCAGCGGAAGUUACGGCAUGUCGCGAAAUAACGUCAGUGUCGCCCGCUUCUACGACCUGUCGGACGACAGGCAGGGCACCGCCUCGGCCUCGCACAUCUACCGCGAGAUGGCCGGACCAGCGGGAGGACCUCUCUCGCUGUCGGAAAUCGCGACGAAAAAGGCGGAUGGAGUGAAAAUGUCGAUGUCUAAAACUACCGCCCGGGUGACGCCAGGAAGGAUGUUUCUGAGAGACAAGGGCAUGUUGACGAAAGGAGAACGGGAGAUCAUCAAGGGCAUUUGCAAAAAUCGCGGCGACCUGCGGCGUGACGGCUGCUCCCAGUCGGACAUGACGGUGCGACACCAUCACGAGGCCUGGCAGAUGGGUAAGGCAAUGACUGCGAGCAAGGAUCUGCUGCGUGGCACCCUUUUAGAGAUGGCCUCAUCAGGGGUGGCAGGUGGAGAAGCCGUCAGUGUCAAAUCAUUGACGCAAAUCAAGCCAAAGCUGGUGGAGAAGGUAACAUCGCUCAUCGUUCUCAAUGUUUGAUGUGUUUGAAAGAGCAAACCUGCAGCACCCGAAGCUCCGCCUUCCGACUUCUCGCCGUGAUGGCGGCGGUCUGAUAACACCGCCAUCCACUCCAGAACCAUCCAGCAUCCACGGCGCCAGUUUGUCGAACAAUUUUCAGCCCCAUCAUCACUGCCAAACCUUAGCACCACACCAUCACACCAUCACGCCUGCACCCAGGCUACCCCACCGACGUCAGGAAACCAGUUCCCAUGAAACGAUAGUUGUGACCCCUUUAAGUGCACACACCUCUCAGGAUACGGAACCCAGUGACUCUGACAGCCAGGAUUCCAGAGGCAGACGGAAGAUUCAGGUGAAAGUGUACUUGCCCAAAGUCGGCGCCGAUACGGUUGAUGACGACAUAAAGGCUUGUAUUCUACAUGGAAAACCCAUACUGGCCAGGGAGAGACACAUAAACCAGAACGAUCUCAAACACAAGAAACUGCACAAAGACAGUUUGGAGACUACUCAAGCGUCCACAUGGGAACGACUUCCGACAACAAAAUACAGAGACAAACCCAGAGUAGUGACUCUUACAAACCGGCCAUUCCGUGGUGCCACAGAGGGAACAGGUACAGGUCGAUUUUUACCAGCGUGAAUAUGCUAGGGUGAUAAAAUUAUGGUAAGGAAUAGAGGAUGAGUCUGGACAUGGUAAAUAAUGACUUUGGGACUUCUUUCAUGUGAUGUAAGUAGCUAUGAAGAACAUGUUCAACAUCAUAAGUAUAUUACUUCAUGUGAAUGUUGGAUUUUUUUUUCCGUCAUAUUCUUCAUAGAUUUCUACAGAAACAAAUCUUCAUUUGAACAGACUGCAUUGCAAAGUAGUAGUAUUGUGCAAUAAAGACGGUUUACAAUUAAGCAGUUACUAUAGAGCAACUAUGAUUAUGUUAAAAAAUAUUGCUACUGUAUUAUUUAAGGCCACAUUUUUGGACUGAAGACAUAACCUGUUGCAUUCAAAUGCCAACAUUGCAUUAUGGCAUGUUUGUCUUGUAUAAAGGCAAUGUUCAUGAGCAU
Molecule: RNA transcript, 2593 nt
Organism: Pomacea canaliculata
Lineage: Eukaryota; Metazoa; Mollusca; Gastropoda; Architaenioglossa; Ampullariidae
Exons: 4
Source: RefSeq, a predicted model, not a curated record